This 1230-nucleotide long non-coding RNA is filed under the name Macaca fascicularis (crab-eating macaque). Its description in RNAcentral is "lncRNA (ENSMFAG00000052378.1)". Lineage: Eukaryota; Metazoa; Chordata; Mammalia; Primates; Cercopithecidae. The record is from RNAcentral.
UUUUUUUUUUUUUUUUUUGAGACGGUCACCCAGGCUGGGGUGCAGUGGCCGGAUCUCAGCUCACUGCAAGCUCCGCCUCCGGGUUUACGCCAUUCUCCUGCCUCAGCCUCCCGAGUAGCUGGGACUACAGGCGCCCGGCUAGUUUUUUUUGUAUUUUUUAGUAGAGACGGGGUUUCACUGUGUUAGCCAGGAUGGUCUCGAUCUCCUGACCUCGUGAUCCACCCGUCUCGGCCUCCCAAAGUGCUGGGAUUACAGGCUUGAGCCACCGCGCCUGGCCUAAAUAUUUAUUUCAAAUUAAAUAAAAUCUAAAUAAACAUGGAUAAUUCAAACAUGCAAAAUAUCAAAGAUUACUUUUUAUAAUGAUAGGUUUAAUACAUAAUUAGAAGCUAAAAUAAACAUAUCCAAAAUUAAAACAAUAUACUAACUGUGAGGUAAGUGUCCAAUGUUUGAAAAUGAGAACAUGGUAUUUGCUUCGAUCCAAUAAGUAAUAUCCAAAUUUUAAACACUUUCCUAAAAUCAUGUGACAUGAAGACUGAUAAGCCAAUAGAAGCAAGAAUUUUCCAAGUCAGGAAAUCUGAGCUUUUCCACUACUAUGUGUGUGAUUCUGGGCAGUUUAAAUUUCUGAGCCUCAUUGUCUUUACUGGGAAUGGCAGUAUUAUCUGUAGCUUUUAUAUCAGGAUGAAACUAUAUGCAAACCAUCUACUACUGGGUAUAGGUGCUUGGUAGGCAAACACUAAGUUUUAGCUUUCUAUAAAUAUCAUUAAUGGAAACUAGUGUGUAAUGCAGGCCUUGAAAAAAGACCACAGCUAAGAAGGCUCCUACUAGGCUCAUUGUUUUACAUUCGUACUCCACAGUCUUACAAAUAAUUCAGACCCAAUGAUAUUAAUCUUUAUCACUAGGCAAAAUUCUAUCUUAUAGGUUAUGGUCCCUCAAACAUGCGGUAAUGUGUAGCAUUGAUGGACAUCAAGUAUUAAAUGUAAAGGCUAAAAUGAAAUAUAUUGUAAAUAAAGAAAUUAUUUUUAAAUUGUAGGUAGUUUAAAAAAAUCUUUCACAUGGUCUUUUCAAGAAACAGUGAUGGAACAACUGGGCAUUUAUGUGCAAAUAGAUGAUCUAGAUACAGACCUUACAACCUUCACAAAAAUUAAAUCAAAAUGGAUCAUAUACCUCAAUGUGAAAUGCAAAAGAAAAAUUCUGAGACGAUAACAUAGAAAAUCUAGAUGAUCUUGGGCA